This 455-nucleotide ribosomal RNA is filed under the name uncultured bacterium. Its description in RNAcentral is "bacterial SSU rRNA". It matches the Rfam family "Bacterial small subunit ribosomal RNA", at positions 46 to 518 of the family's 1533-position model. The record is from RNAcentral.
GCCUAACACAUGCAAGUCGAGCGAGGAGAUUCCGUCGGAUGAUCCUAGCGGCGGACGGGUGAGUAACACGUGGGCAACCUGCCUCAUAGAGAGGAAUAGCCUUCCGAAAGGGAGAUUAAUACCUCAUAACAUUGCAGUUUCGCAUGGAACAGCAAUUAAAGGAGUAAUCCGCUAUGAGAUGGGCCCGCGGCGCAUUAGCUAGUUGGUGAGGUAACGGCUCACCAAGGCGACGAUGCGUAGCCGACCUGAGAGGGUGAUCGGCCACAUUGGGACUGAGACACGGCCCAGACUCCUACGGGAGGCAGCAGUGGGGAAUAUUGCACAAUGGGGGAAACCCUGAUGCAAGCAACGCCGCGUGAGUGAUGACGGCCUUCGGGUUGUAAAGCUCUGUCUUCAGGGACGAUAAUGACGGUACCUGAGGAGGAAGCCACGGCUAACUACGUGCCAGCCGCUGC